AGAUAAGUAUGGAUGUGAUUAUCG
RNAcentral lists this non-coding RNA (24 nucleotides) under Arabidopsis thaliana (thale cress). The record is from RNAcentral. Lineage: Eukaryota; Viridiplantae; Streptophyta; Magnoliopsida; Brassicales; Brassicaceae.